Molecule: microRNA, 18 nt
Filed under: Ciona intestinalis (vase tunicate)
Lineage: Eukaryota; Metazoa; Chordata; Ascidiacea; Phlebobranchia; Cionidae
Description: cin-miR-4192-3p
Source: miRBase by way of RNAcentral
UCAUGGAAAAUUGGUUAA